CUCUUUUUCACACACACCCAUGAUUUUCUGCGCAGUCUAAUAAGGAUGCUGUUAUAUGGACUCCAAUCUCUAUGAUGACCACCCAUGUCUUUGUCAACUUCAUGCUAAAAGUGCCCAAAGCCCGUGGUGGUGGCAGUGCAUGGCGUUUGUGUGGAAGCAGGUCUGUUGGGAGUGUUAAGUACGAUCAUCUCAUACACUCACCACAACUCUGGGAAGUUCCAUCAAUAUUGUUUGCUGUCACUUUUCCUGCAAAGCUUUAACCAUCAGAGAGUUAUCUUUUACUGGGGCUUUUAGCUGCAGGAGACUGAAUUACUAAGUUUUUUUUUUUGUGGAUCUGAUUUCUUCUUUCGCAGGAGUGGAUCUAAUCACAGCCUGUAGAAGGUGGUCCGAGUUCAGUUACAAUGGAACUGUGAAUGUGAAUUGUCCCAUGAAUGUGAACGUAACUUGUAUCCGGGUCCGCACUUUUUCAGGAAGUAGAGUAACCUGUGCUGAAGGCCUGUUGUGGUGAUGACGUGUCAUGACAUGUUUUGGCCCAAAUCUGCAGUGACUUUGAAAAAGUGGAAGCUCCUCUGAAUAUUGUGGAGUUUCUUGAUUUUGCGUUAAUUUCUGUGAUCACAAAAAGGUGAAAUUCUGGACUGACACAUGGAAGAUAUGGAAUGAUAACAGAAGAAUGUGACUUUGGGUUGUACCGUGUAUUUUUUUCAUGUAGCUUUAUUAUUUAGUAUAAAUGAAGGCAAGUGUGUGUUCUGUUCUUCAUCUCUGCAGUCUUGUGUUCCCUGAUAGUCAAUGAUUGCUGGAGCUCUGGAAAUAGCAGGUGAGAUUGCAGGCCGGAGUCCCGUCGCUGUCCAAGGAACCAAAAUCAACCUCCUCUACUCCUGAGACCACAGUGUGACUGAGAGCCUAGACUACAUGGCUACUUGGAACAUGAACAUGUUGCAGACACAGGAUCUUAUGAAGUCAGCGCAGGCAGCCCUGGAAAAGAAGAGUCCGAAAGACGUGCCCUUCUCCAAGCUUUAAAGGAGAAGAUCCAGGGCUGUUGAAGCUGCGGUGGAACUGAGACAUCAUCAUCCACAUAUAUCUUCAGUUCUUCUUGCUAAGAGAACGAGAAACUCGGACACAACAGUACAUCCUGACCAUUGGUACUGUGUACACAUCAACAUACACACACGUCUCCAUGCUGGACAUCUCAGGAGCUUUCACACAGUGCUAGGAAUAUCCCGGGACAGAGAAACGCACCUUCUAAGUGAGCGAGUUUAGCGUCAACCGGUGAAAUUUGCUGUAGCGUGAACACUUCGCCUCUGUGAGCUUCACUCUCCGUAGGGUUCACUGUAAUUAGACAUAAAAUGUACAUAGUUUAUUUUUCAUGCAUUUAGGAUUUCAUGUUUUUUUUUUUUUUUUUUUUUUUUUUUUUUUUUUUUUUUUACUCUUUGAGGAACAGAAAUGAUAUUUCGAGGCAGCUUCUUCUUCACUACCUGCUCCGUUUGACUCAAAAAUGUAACGACCGGUUUCAAAAAGUCACGAUGUCUUCAGUUCAUGUGAUUUUACUGUUGAAUUUAAACAGGAAAUGUGAAAUAUUUUUUCCCUUUGUUUCCUCUACUGUCUUUUUGCUGUGAUCUUGAACACAGUUGUAAUUUAAAAAAAAAAAAAUAAUAAUAAAAAAAUUAUAAUUCUAGUUCUCUCACUUUCCUUGUCCUAAUUGUCCUGUAUCUGUUAAAUCCGUUUCAUCUCUGGUCUUUCUGUCUGUAUGAAC
Molecule: long non-coding RNA, 1750 nt
Organism: Ictalurus punctatus (channel catfish)
Lineage: Eukaryota; Metazoa; Chordata; Actinopteri; Siluriformes; Ictaluridae
Source: Ensembl